RNAcentral lists this ribosomal RNA (484 nucleotides) under uncultured bacterium. RNAcentral describes it as "partial 16S ribosomal RNA". It matches the Rfam family "Bacterial small subunit ribosomal RNA", at positions 30 to 507 of the family's 1533-position model. The record is from RNAcentral.
AUUGAACGCUGGCGGCAGGCCUAACACAUGCAAGUCGAGCGGAUGAAGGGAGCUUGCUCCUGGAUUCAGCGGCGGACGGGGGAGUAAUGCCUAGGAAUCUGCCUGGUAGGGGGGGAUAACGUCCGGAAACGGGCGCUAAUACCGCAUACGUCCUGAUGGAGAAAGAGGGGGAUCUUCGGACCUCACGCUAUCAGAUGAGCCUAGGUCGGAUUAGCUAGUUGGUGGGGUAAAGGCCUACCAAGGCGAGGAUCCGUAACUGGUGGGAGAGGAUGGUCAGUCACACUGGAACGGAGACACGGUCCAGACUCCUACGGUAGGCAGCAGUGGGGUAUAUUGGACAAUGGGCGGAAGUCUGAUCCAGUCAUGACGCGUGUGUUAAGAAGGUCUUCGGAUUGUAAAGCACUUUAAGUUGGGAGGAAGGGCAGUAAGUUAAUACCUUGCUGUUUUGACGUUACCAACAGAAUAAGCACCGGCUAACUUCGUG